This is a long non-coding RNA of Nanorana parkeri, 101 nucleotides long. RefSeq lists it as uncharacterized. The record is from RefSeq and is a predicted model, not a curated record. The transcript has 3 exons. NCBI's taxonomy places the organism in Eukaryota, Metazoa, Chordata, Amphibia, Anura, Dicroglossidae.
AACAUCACAGUUGAAUGUAAAGUAGACUCUAAACAGCUCUCCCCCUCCCCGUUAUUCAUUGCAACACAAUCAGUAAACAGCAGCUCUGCCUUUGCACACAA